GUUGCCGGCCAUAGGACGCGGGACCUACCCGAACCCAUUCCGAACUCGGAAGUUAAACCGCGUUCCGUCCUCGGUUGUAGUGUUGUCUUCGGCGACGCGAAGCCGCGGAAGCUGGCAGCC
Molecule: ribosomal RNA, 120 nt
Filed under: Candidatus Bathyarchaeota archaeon
Lineage: Archaea; Thermoproteati; Candidatus Bathyarchaeota
Source: RNAcentral